Meriones unguiculatus (Mongolian gerbil) is the source of this 457-nucleotide long non-coding RNA. RefSeq lists it as uncharacterized. Lineage: Eukaryota; Metazoa; Chordata; Mammalia; Rodentia; Muridae. The record is from RefSeq and is a predicted model, not a curated record. The transcript is spliced from 4 exons.
CAGCUGCUAUGUGGAUAAAAGACUGAGGGGAAGGAGACGGGCCCAGACCAGACAUAUCAGCAAGCUGAUGAGCCAGGCUAACAGCUGUUCCAAAAGCCACUCUGACGGCGUGGGCCUCCUUGCCGCUUACAACGCUGCUGGAAAGCACCACUGUACCUACCCCCUCAGGAAAUCCAUCACGUGGCAACUGCAGCCUAGAAAGAAACUUCUAGCAAAUCCAUGACACAAAAGGAGCUGGCUUCUCUCAUCAAUGAAGGCAGGAACAGUGACGGUACAAACAGCACCAACUCUGGCCUUGGACAGGCGUGGCCGCAGCCACAGCUCUUCCCCACACUUGCUAUAGGACACAGACAUUGUCAGCUCCUGGUCUUUGAGGCUCCUCUCCUGAUGGUAUCAAGCCUGCAUUUAAAAUGAAGUGUGGAGCAGCGCAGAAUAAGCUGCACCUGGCAUGCAGGAC